This 119-nucleotide ribosomal RNA is filed under the name Pteropus alecto (black flying fox). The record is from RNAcentral. Lineage: Eukaryota; Metazoa; Chordata; Mammalia; Chiroptera; Pteropodidae.
GUCUAUAGCCAUGCCACCCCGAACAAAGCCAAUUCCAUCUCAUCUCAGAAGCUAAGCAGGGUUGGGCCUGGUUAGUACUUGGAUGGAAGACCACCUAGGAAGAACAGGUGGUAUAGGUG